RNAcentral lists this ribosomal RNA (253 nucleotides) under uncultured bacterium. RNAcentral's name for it is "partial 16S ribosomal RNA". It matches the Rfam family "Bacterial small subunit ribosomal RNA", at positions 524 to 776 of the family's 1533-position model. The record is from RNAcentral.
UACAGAGGUCCCAAGCGUUGUUCGGAUUCAUUGGGCGUAAAGGGUGUGUAGGUGGCGCCGUAAGUCGGGUGUGAAAUUUCGGAGCUUAACUCCGAAACUGCAUUCGAUACUGCGGUGCUUGAGGACUGGAGAGGAGACUGGAAUUUACGGUGUAGCGGUGAAAUGCGUAGAUAUCGUAAGGAAGACCAGUGGCGAAGGCGGGUCUCUGGACAGUUCCUGACGCUGAGGAGCGAAAGCGUGGGGAGCGAACAGG